Molecule: transfer RNA, 87 nt
Filed under: bacterium
Lineage: Bacteria
Also listed under: 1 other name
Description: tRNA-Leu
Rfam family: tRNA
About the family: Transfer RNA (tRNA) molecules are approximately 80 nucleotides in length.
Source: RNAcentral
GCCCGGGUGGUGGAAUUGGUAGACGCGCCGGACUCAAAAUCCGGUUCCCGCAAGGGAGUGAGGGUUCGAAUCCCUCCCCGGGCACCA